CGAGGUCAACCUUUGGAAAAUUGGGGUUUUACGGCAAGAGUCCCUCCGGAUCCCAGUGCGAGACGUAAAGUUACUACGCAAAGGAGGCUCCGAGAGGGUCCGCCACUACCUUUGAGGGCCUACAUCAGCUGUAGGGCCCCAACACCAAGCAGAGCUUGAGGGUUGAAAUGACGCUCGAACAGGCAUGCCCGCCAGAAUGCUGGCGGGCGCAAUGUGCGUUCAAAGAUUCGAUGAUUCACUGAAUUCUGCAAUUCACAUUACUUAUCGCAUUUCGCUGCGUUCUUCAUCGAUGCCAGAACCAAGAGAUCCGUUGUUAAAAGUUUUGAUUAUUUGCUUGUACCACUCAGAAGAAACGUCGUUAAAUCAGAGUUUGGUUAUCCUCCGGCGGGCGCCGACCCGCCCGGAGGCGGGAGGCCGGGAGGGUCGCGGAGACCCUACCCGCCGAAGCAACAGUUAUAGGUAUGUUCACAAAGGGUUGUAGAGCGUA
Molecule: unclassified non-coding RNA, 487 nt
Filed under: Colletotrichum siamense
Lineage: Eukaryota; Fungi; Ascomycota; Sordariomycetes; Glomerellales; Glomerellaceae
Description: sequence contains 18S rRNA gene, ITS1, 5.8S rRNA gene, ITS2, 28S rRNA gene
Source: RNAcentral